RNAcentral lists this ribosomal RNA (251 nucleotides) under uncultured bacterium. Its description in RNAcentral is "partial 16S ribosomal RNA". It matches the Rfam family "Bacterial small subunit ribosomal RNA", at positions 524 to 774 of the family's 1533-position model. The record is from RNAcentral.
UACGUAGGGGGCAAGCGUUAUCCGGAAUUACUGGGUGUAAAGGGAGAGUAGGCGGCAAGGUAAGCGAUAUGUGAAAGCCUUAGGCUUAACCUGAGGAUUGCAUAACGAACUAUCUAGCUAGAGUACAGGAGAGGAAAGCGGAAUUCUUAGUGUAGCGGUGAAAUGCGUAGAUAUUAGGAAGAACACCAGUGGCGAAGGCGGCUUUCUGGACUGAAACUGACGCUGAGGCUCGAAAGCGUGGGGAGCGAACA